CGAGUAGUAUAGCCUCAUGAUUGGAUCACAGGUAUUGUCCCAGUGGUACGACACUGGAGAAGACUCCUUCCGUCGGACGGAGAUGGAAAAGGGAUGUAUUCAACGCAACCCAAACUGUGGUUACCGCUUGAAGAUUUGGGGUUCACCAAAGGUGAAGAUGUUACUCUGAGGAGAUUAGCAUCACAACGUCAGAUCAGCAAUGUUCCCCAGUAGUGCGAUAUUGGAGGAAAUGUUCCCGUCGGACAGAGAUGGGGAUACAGUCAGAAGACGUUACGCGAU
RNAcentral lists this long non-coding RNA (279 nucleotides) under Lathyrus oleraceus (garden pea). RNAcentral describes it as "Pisum sativum (pea) long non-coding RNA (PSAT_LNC024865)". The record is from RNAcentral. Lineage: Eukaryota; Viridiplantae; Streptophyta; Magnoliopsida; Fabales; Fabaceae.